GUUAAUAUUAAUUCUAAGUAUGGGACUUGCAUAGAUCGCUGUUCAGGGAUACCCCCUGAACAGCGAUCUAUGCAAGUCCCAUACUUAGAAUGAAUAUUAUUUUUAAA
Molecule: microRNA precursor, 107 nt
Filed under: Pelobates cultripes (western spadefoot toad)
Lineage: Eukaryota; Metazoa; Chordata; Amphibia; Anura; Pelobatidae
Source: RNAcentral